This 73-nucleotide transfer RNA is filed under the name Felis catus (domestic cat). It matches the Rfam family "tRNA". From Rfam's summary of the family: Transfer RNA (tRNA) molecules are approximately 80 nucleotides in length. RNAcentral also lists the same sequence under 2 other names. The record is from Rfam by way of RNAcentral. Lineage: Eukaryota; Metazoa; Chordata; Mammalia; Carnivora; Felidae.
ACCUGGCUGGCUCAGUUGGAAGAGCAUGCGACUGUUGAUUUUGAGGUCAUGAGUUUGAGCCCCAUGUUGGGUU